RNAcentral lists this ribosomal RNA (493 nucleotides) under uncultured bacterium. RNAcentral describes it as "bacterial SSU rRNA". It matches the Rfam family "Bacterial small subunit ribosomal RNA", at positions 28 to 526 of the family's 1533-position model. The record is from RNAcentral.
GACGAACGCUGGCGGCGUGCCUAACACAUGCAAGUCGAGCGGAGAUGUACUGAAGAUUUAUCGGAUGUACAUCUUAGCGGCGGACGGGUGAGUAACGCGUGGGCAACCUGCCUUUCACUGGGGGAUAACACAGGGAAACCUGUGCUAAUACCGCAUGACAUCACGUAGGGCAUCCUAUGUGAUCAAAGGAGAGAUCCGGUGGAAGAUGGGCCCGCGUCCAAUUAGCUGGUUGGUGAGGUAAAGGCUCACCAAGGCGACGAUUGGUAGCCGAACUGAGAGGUUGAUCGGCCACAUUGGGACUGAGACACGGCCCAGACUCCUACGGGAGGCAGCAGUGGGGAAUAUUGCGCAAUGGGGGGAACCCUGACGCAGCAACGCCGCGUGAAGGAAGAAGGUCUUCGGAUUGUAAACUUCUUUGAUGAGGGACGAAUAAAGUGACGGUACCUCAAAACAAGCCACGGCUAACUACGUGCCAGCAGCCGCGGUAAAAGUC